GGGGCCGUGGCAGAGUGGCCUAUUGCACCCGCCUUAUAAGCGGGCGAACCUGCUACCACAGGUUCCGUCAGUUCAAAUCUGACCGGCCCCG
RNAcentral lists this transfer RNA (91 nucleotides) under Acidobacteriota bacterium. RNAcentral's name for it is "Acidobacteria bacterium (groundwater metagenome) tRNA-Ile". It matches the Rfam family "tRNA". Rfam says of the family: Transfer RNA (tRNA) molecules are approximately 80 nucleotides in length. Their secondary structure includes four short double-helical elements and three loops (D, anti-codon, and T loops). The record is from RNAcentral. Lineage: Bacteria; Pseudomonadati; Acidobacteriota.